GUCACAACUCUCGACAAUGGAUAUCGCGGCUCUAACAUCGAUGAAGAGCGCAACAAAAUGCAAUACGUGGUGCGAAUUGCAGAAUCCCGCGAACCAUCGAGUCUUUGAACGCAAGUUACGCCCGAUGCCAAUCGGUCGUGGGCAUGUCCGCCUGGGCGUCAAGC
RNAcentral lists this ribosomal RNA (164 nucleotides) under Aerides houlletiana. RNAcentral's name for it is "5.8S ribosomal RNA". It matches the Rfam family "5.8S ribosomal RNA". From Rfam's summary of the family: 5.8S ribosomal RNA (5.8S rRNA) is a component of the large subunit of the eukaryotic ribosome. It is transcribed by RNA polymerase I as part of the 45S precursor that also contains 18S and 28S rRNA. Lineage: Eukaryota; Viridiplantae; Streptophyta; Magnoliopsida; Asparagales; Orchidaceae. The record is from RNAcentral.